AACGUAGGAGGCAAGCGUUAUCCGGAUUUACUGGGCGUAAAGCGUGUGCAGGCGGUUGUUCAAGUCGGGUUUGAAAGCGCUCCGCUUAACGGGGCGAGGCUAGACGAGACUGGGCGACUAGAAUCAGACAGAGGCAAGCGGAAUUCCGGGUGUAGUGGUGAAAUGCGUAGAGAUCCGGAGGAACACCGGUGGCGAAGGCGGCAUCCUGGACCGGUAUUGACGCUGAGGCGCGAAAGCUAGGGGAGCAAACGGG
This 253-nucleotide ribosomal RNA is filed under the name uncultured bacterium. RNAcentral describes it as "partial 16S ribosomal RNA". It matches the Rfam family "Bacterial small subunit ribosomal RNA", at positions 524 to 776 of the family's 1533-position model. The record is from RNAcentral.